This is a long non-coding RNA of Lutra lutra (Eurasian river otter), 410 nucleotides long. RefSeq lists it as uncharacterized. The transcript is spliced from 3 exons. Lineage: Eukaryota; Metazoa; Chordata; Mammalia; Carnivora; Mustelidae. The record is from RefSeq and is a predicted model, not a curated record.
UACCCCUACCCCUUUUCUGAGGCCCUGACAAGCUCUUAAAUUGCAACCCCAGAAGUUUCAGUCCUGUUUCUGAUGCCUGCGGUGCCUGGCUUCUUUCUCCACAGAAUACAGCUAUGCCUGUAACUGUGACAUUGACACUUUGCCUGAAUUAGACAAUGUCUAAUGUCCUGCCCUCUCGUGAUGUGACAGCAAAAUCCAGAAUGUGACAAUCCAAGCAGAGCUGAGGAAGCUAUAAGGAAAUGCCAGCAAAGAGUACACUAUGGAGAUGUGAGCUGUGAAUCCCUGAAAGCAUCAGUACUUUGAGGCACCAGGAUGGAUCAUUCGCUUCAAAAAAGAGAGUAGAAGACUUGCUUUCAUAACCUACAGCUACACCAUCUAGGUCUAAAGACGCCCAAAAUGAUGAAACUGAC